This 563-nucleotide ribosomal RNA is filed under the name uncultured bacterium. RNAcentral describes it as "partial 16S ribosomal RNA". It matches the Rfam family "Bacterial small subunit ribosomal RNA", at positions 355 to 1375 of the family's 1533-position model. The record is from RNAcentral.
UGGGGAAUAUUGCACAAUGGGCGAAAGCCUGAUGCAGCAACGCCGCGUGAGUGAUGAAGGCCUUCGGGUUGUAAAGCUCUGUCUUUUGGGACGAUAAUGACGGUACCAAAGGAGGAAGCCACGGCUAACUACGUGCCAGCAGCCGCGGUAAUACGUAGGCGGCAAGCGUUGUCCGGAUUUACUGGGCGUAAAGGAUGCGUAGGCGGAUUUUUAAGUGAGAUGUGAAAACCCUAAGCUUAACUUGGGGACUGCAUUUCAUACUGGAAAUCUAGAGUGCGGGAGAGGAGAAUGGAAUCCCUAGUGUAGCGGUGAAAUGCGUAGAGAUUAGGAAGAACACCAGUGGCGAAGGCGAUUCUCUGGACCGUAACUGACGCUGAGGCAUGAAAGCGUGGGUAGCAAACAGGAUUAGAUACCCUGGUAGUCCACGCCGUAAACGAUGAGUACUAGGUGUAGGAGGUAUCGACCCCUUCUGUGCCGCAGUUAACACAAUAAGUACUCCGCCUGGGAAGUACGAUCGCAAGAUUAAAACUCAAAUGAAUUGACGGGGUCAUAGCUGUUUUCCU